AAACCAACCGUCCCUAGAGCAAGUAGCAAAAGGCUUGGUGGUUGGUACCCGAGACCCAAGUUCGAAUUUGUGAAACAACCAUUGUACUCUAAAAGCAUAAGUUGUUAGAGAACGGUGUUUAAACAUUUUUAACACUCCCCCUCACGUCUGGACUCGAGACUUUUUAAUCGGCUCAUGACGUGGGCUUGAAUUAAAUGGGAUGAAAUUAAUAUGCUAGGAGCCUGGCGUGACUCGAACUCAAGACCUCCUGCUCUGAUAUCAUAUGAAACAACUGUUGUACUCUAAAAGCUUAAGCUAAUAGAGAACGGUGUUUAAAUAUUUUUAUGUUUAACAGAAUUCUAGUUGAUUCACAUUUCUAGCUAAGUUUAUUUUUAAAUGAAAUAAACGAAACAGGUAACGUGCCAUCUAUCUUUCUUAAAAAAAAAAAAAAAAAGAAAAGAAGAAAUACUUCUUGAGAUGAAGUGCAUAUUUGUGUCUAAUCCUACAUGUCCUUGUAACACAAUAAUAAUAAUUAGAAUAAUUUCAUAAAGCUUCCAACAUUGGUCACAUUCAAAACAAGACAUAAAAUAAGGUUUUUUUUAAAAAAAUAUUCUCUUAUAACAGGGGGCAUGCACCAUAUUUUACCUAGUGGUGUACCAUCACAACCUUAAACCCCUAAAACCCCUUGAAACCCUAAAAAGCCACUUUUUUGGCCUGAUGCACGCCAACACCAACCACCACCAUCUCCCAACAAUAUUUAUUACUUAUUUUAUUCAUUUUUUGUGUGUGAUAGUAC
RNAcentral lists this long non-coding RNA (775 nucleotides) under Ananas comosus (pineapple). RNAcentral describes it as "long non-coding RNA (ACOM_LNC035344)". Lineage: Eukaryota; Viridiplantae; Streptophyta; Magnoliopsida; Poales; Bromeliaceae. The record is from RNAcentral.